Molecule: ribosomal RNA, 109 nt
Filed under: Moeroris amara
Lineage: Eukaryota; Viridiplantae; Streptophyta; Magnoliopsida; Malpighiales; Phyllanthaceae
Description: Phyllanthus amarus partial 18S ribosomal RNA
Rfam family: Eukaryotic small subunit ribosomal RNA
Source: RNAcentral
GGGCGGUUCGCCGCCGACGACGUCGCGAGAAGUCCACUGAACCUUAUCAUUUAGAGGAAAGAGAAGUCGUAACAAGGUUUCCGUAAGUGAACCUGCGGAAGGAUCAUUG